UCUGGAAUUUCACCACUGCAGAGUCCAGGUUCGGGUACCCCUCGGGAAUCUUCCUGUCAGGCGAAUCCAUUCCUCAUGUUAAAUUGUGAAAGUAGGAGCUCUCAGCAGUUGCACUCACAGAGUGAUCAAAACAACAGUGACUCGACAGAUUACAAUGAGGGUAAGAGAGGACACAAUUCUGAACCUACACCUGAUUGCCAACGCUUUCCAUCUGCAACUGAUCAAACUACAAAUAGCAUUUGCUGCAAUGGUGAUCUAAACCAUGUUCAUCUGAGUUAUGGAAGCAACGGAAACAUCACACUUCCACUCAGCAAAACACCAGCAGAGUAUAGGAAAGAAGAAAGCUUUCACGCUCCUGAUGGAAAUUCUCAUCGAUCUCAAAGAGAAGCAGCUCUUACAAAAUUUCGCAUGAAGCGGAAAGAUAAGAUGCUUUGAAAAGAAGGUAUAUCAGCACCCAUCAUUUGUCUAUCAAAAGCUCGUAUUGUAUUUGACGAAUCAUUAUCUUCACCUUGAAAUUAACUGGCGGCAAGACUCAAUCUUGAAAAUCACUUCACAGAAGAACAAAAGAUCCUGUAACUUGUAAGCAUAGCAUUUCUCCUCUAAAUCAACCAACGGAAAGACAAAUAAGAUAUCAACAAGACAUACUGGUAGACAGUAAAGCCCAGAUAAAUAGAACUAAUAUGAAUGAAUGAUCAUUUUAGAGGGUUCUGUGAAUCAGUUUACAAAUGAGAAGCGCAGAUUGAACCAUUCUGAUGCCUCAGCCUUCACGCGGUGAGUUUUCAGUUUCCUAAUCUAUUCUUUUACGUGGUUUGAUGCAGCAUUAAUUUCAGAAUGAAGUGAUAAUGAAGAUAAAAGACAAUGGAUACCUUAUUGUCUGAAAAGGAAACUUCCCUUCUUCGUUGUAUUUUGAAUUGUUGAAAGCCUUACUACAAACACAUGAAACUUUGAGAGAUUGAACAACUUGAAGGACAAUAAGUUACACAUUAAACUUUGAGAGAUUGAACAACUUUUAGGACAAUAAGUUAUCUUUCAUGUCUACCUGUAAGAUGUGAUGAUCUAUUAAGAUAACAGAACUAAAAAUAUGAAUCCUGAGAUAACUUGGUUGUAGGACCUCGAGUUACUUAGGCAUCUCAUCCUUGAGUUUGAGCCGCUAAACUUAUGAAACUGUUUUGUCUAAGACCAUAGAAUGGGAGCGUCAUUUUGAAUUCUAUAAGAUGAUUUUUGAUAUUCUGAUGCAACCUUUUCAAACCAAUGAAUUUUUGUAAAUAACAAUUAGGAAAAUGCUCCUGCAGGUAUGUCAACAGGGCAAUGCAGUCUAGACAUUCAACGUCGUCUUAAGGCUUAUAAUCUACAGGAAUAUGAAGCUGAUUCUGAUAAGCAGUUAUGUGGUCAUGCCACUGAUUACAACUCAGACACCCGCGGUCCGAUGACUAGACCUCAAAGUUUUGCCCCUCUUAGUUGCGGAGAACCAAGACCAGCUGAAUUUGGACUAAACUUCUCCUCAGCAGAGAGUGACGCCUCUCUCUAUACCAGUGAGAGGUAUCAGGUUUGAGGGACCAACCUGUGCCUACAGUUCUAGGAUUGCUCCAAUACUUCGUAUGCCAUCUGGAAUUUCACCACUGCAGAGUCCAGGUUCGGGUACCCCUCGGGAAUCUUCCUGUCAGGCGAAUCCAUUCCUCAUGUUAAAUUGUGAAAGUAGGAGCUCUCAGCAGUUGCACUCACAGAGUGAUCAAAACAACAGUGACUCGACAGAUUACAAUGAGGGUAAGAGAGGACACAAUUCUGAACCUACACCUGAUUGCCAACGCUUUCCAUCUGCAACUGAUCAAACUACAAAUAGCAUUUGCUGCAAUGGUGAUCUAAACCAUGUUCAUCUGAGUUAUGGAAGCAACGGAAACAUCACACUUCCACUCAGCAAAACACCAGCAGAGUAUAGGAAAGAAG
This 1944-nucleotide long non-coding RNA is filed under the name Capsicum annuum. RNAcentral's name for it is "long non-coding RNA (CANN_LNC021849)". The record is from RNAcentral. Lineage: Eukaryota; Viridiplantae; Streptophyta; Magnoliopsida; Solanales; Solanaceae.